GAUGAACGCUGGCGGCGUGCCUAAUACAUGCAAGUAGAACGCUGAAGGAGGAGCUUGCUCUUCUGGAUGAGUUGCGAACGGGUGAGUAACGCGUAGGUAACCUGCCUGGUAGCGGGGGAUAACUAUUGGAAACGAUAGCUAAUACCGCAUGACAACAGUUAUUGCAUGAUAACUGUUUAAAAGGGGCAACUGCUCCACUACCAGAUGGACCUGCGUUGUAUUAGCUAGUUGGUGAGGUAACGGCUCACCAAGGCGACGAUACAUAGCCGACCUGAGAGGGGGGUCGGCCAAACUGGGACUGAGACACGGCCCAGACUCCUACGGGAGGCAGCAGUAGGGAAUCUUCGGCAAUGGACGGAAGUCUGACCGAGCAACGCCGCGUGAGUGAAGAAGGUUGUCGGAUCGUAAAGAUCUGUUGUAAGAGAAGAACGAGUGUGAGAGUGGAAAGUUCACACUGUGACGGUAUCUUACCAGAAAGGGACGGCUAACUACGUG
RNAcentral lists this ribosomal RNA (495 nucleotides) under uncultured bacterium. RNAcentral describes it as "partial 16S ribosomal RNA". It matches the Rfam family "Bacterial small subunit ribosomal RNA", at positions 28 to 507 of the family's 1533-position model. The record is from RNAcentral.